RNAcentral lists this ribosomal RNA (743 nucleotides) under uncultured bacterium. RNAcentral describes it as "bacterial SSU rRNA". It matches the Rfam family "Bacterial small subunit ribosomal RNA", at positions 43 to 859 of the family's 1533-position model. The record is from RNAcentral.
CAGGCUUAACACAUGCAAGUCGAGCGCCUCGCAAGGGGAGCGGCAGAGGUGAGUAACGCGUGGGAACGUACCCCCCGGUUCGGAAUAACUCAGGGAAACUUGAGCAUACCGGAUACGGCUGAGAGGCGAAAGAUUUAUCGCCGGGGGAUCGGCCCGCGUCCGAAGCUAGUUGGUGUGGUAAUGGCGCACCAAGGCGACGAUCGGUAGCUGGUCUGAGAGGAAUCAGCCACAUUGGGACUGAGACACGGCCCAAACUCCUACGGGAGGCAGCAGUGGGGAAUUGGACAAUGGGCGCAAGCCUGAUCCAGCCAUGCCGCGUGAGUGAUGAAGGCCUUAGUUGUAAAGCUCUUUCGCCCACGACGAUAAUGACGGUAGUGGGAGAAGAAGCCCCGGCUCUUCGUGCCAGCAGCCGCGGUAAUACGAAGGGGGCUAGCGUUGUUCGGAAUUACUGGGUAAAGCGCGUGUAGGCGGGUCUUUAAGUCAGGGGUGAAAUGCCAAGGCUCAACCUUGGCUGCCUUUGAUACUGGAGAUCUUGAGUCCGGGAGAGGUGAGUGGAACUGCGAGUGUAGGUGAAAUUCGUAGAUAUUCGCAAGAACACCAGUGGCGAAGGCGGCUCACUGGCCCGGAUGACGCUGAGACGCGAAAGCGUGGGGAGCAAACAGGAUUAGAUACCCUGGUAGUCCACUGUAAACGAUGGAUGCUAGCCGUUGGGGAGCUUGCUCUUCAGUGGCGCAGCUAACGCC